RNAcentral lists this ribosomal RNA (492 nucleotides) under uncultured bacterium. RNAcentral's name for it is "partial 16S ribosomal RNA". It matches the Rfam family "Bacterial small subunit ribosomal RNA", at positions 29 to 507 of the family's 1533-position model. The record is from RNAcentral.
AGUGAACGCUGGCGGUAGGCCUAACACAUGCAAGUCGAACGGCAGCACAGUAAGCGCUUUCUCUUACGGGUGGCGAGUGGCGGGUGGGUGACGAAUACAUCGGAAUCUACUUUUUCGGGGGGGACAACGUGGGGAAACUUACGCUAAUACCUCAUAUGACCAACGGGUGGAAGCAAUAGUUCUUCGGGCCUUUCGCGUUAGUAUUAGCCGGUGCCGGAUUAGCUAGUUGGCAGGGUAAAGGCCCACCAAGGCAACGAUCCGUAGCUGGUCUGAGAGGAUGAUCAGCCACACUGGAACUGAGACACGGUCCAGACUCCUACGGGAGGCAGCAGUAGGGAAUAUUGGGCAAUGGGCGAAAGCCUGAUCCAGCCAUGCCGCGUGAGUGAAGAAGGCCUUCGGGUUGUAAAGCUCUGUUGUUGGGGAAGAAAAACAGCAGAAGUAUACCCGGCUGUUCUGACGGUACCCAAACAGUAAGCACCGGCUAACUUCGUG